Molecule: ribosomal RNA, 464 nt
Filed under: uncultured bacterium
Lineage: Bacteria
Description: partial 16S ribosomal RNA
Rfam family: Bacterial small subunit ribosomal RNA
Source: RNAcentral
CUACGGGAUGCACCAGUGGGGAAUAUUGCACAAUGGGCGCAAGCCUGAUGCAGCCAUGCCGCGUGUAUGAAGAAGGCCUUCGGGUUGUAAAGUACUUUCAGCGGGGAGGAAGGGAGUAAAGUUAAUACCUUUGCUCAUUGACGUUACCCGCAGAAGAAGCACCGGCUAACUCCGUGCCAGCAGCCGCGGUAAUACGGAGGGUGCAAGCGUUAAUCGGAAUUACUGGGCGUAAAGCGCACGCAGGCGGUUUGUUAAGGCAGAUGUGAAAUCCCCGGGCUCUACCUGGGAACUGCAUCUGAUACUGGCAAGCUUGAGUCUCGUAGAGGGGGGUAGAAUUCCAGGUGUAGCGGUGAAAUGCGUAGAGAUCUGGAGGAAUACCGGUGGCGAAGGCGGCCCCCUGGACGAAGACUGACGCUCAGGUGCGAAAGCGUGGGGAGCAAACAGGAUUAGAUACCCUCGUAGUC